UUCCCUUUGCUCUAUAAGGUCCGCUGCUUUUGUGGAGCAAUGGGUAACUAUGCUUUGAAGGUGGCUGUUGUCUAUGUGUGCGGAGGGUCCCUGGUUUGAGCCCAGGUAGGGGCGAGGAGAGGGACGGAAGCAAAACUGUUACACGGACACCAUUUUAAUCCUCUUUAGAGUGAGCUGAUCAAGGGGUCGAAAAUCUAGAUAUUGCCAGAUGUUCACGGUCCGAGGAACAGGCUGUGGAAGCUUAUUGCUGGAAAAAGUGUCCAUAACCAGAGGUUAUGUCAGCUGUUUUGGUGAACCCCUCCCGCAUCUGAACUUGCUGACACAUAGGGCACAGCAUGAUCAUAGGUAUGUUUUGAUGUGAGAGAGGAAGCCAGUUCCGCCAUCGCCACCUUACCCACUCUUAAGAUAACCUUAUGGCCAACUGGGGGCCCAAGGCUGGUUAGGAGACACCGCAAUUGUGAUGAACUGAGAGAAUAUUAGGGUAGCGCUGUAAUUCAAUUAAUCAUAUGCUGUCUGCCGCUUACCUAUUUCCCUUUCUGUCUUCUACACCUCUCUCCCCACCUUGUCUUUCUUCCUUAUUUUAUAAUGCACACCAUAUGUGCAUUGAAGUACAGAUUGAACUUGUAUUUAUAAACAAUUGUUGGAACAAUUACUUCUGUCAUGCAGAAAGUAGAAACCUACCAAAACUAUAGUUUGUUAACAAGAAAUUUGUGGAGUGGUUGAAAAACAAGUUUUAAUGACUCCAACCUAAGUGUAUGUAAACUUCCGACUUCAACUGUAAAUUACUUCCAGACUAGAGAAAGUUAUUUUUCUCACUAUAUGUUUAUUGCUGUAUGUUUAAAAAGCUUAUCCACGCAUGACUUGCUGAUGUGGUAUGAGGCCACACACUGGACACAUCUGUAACGAAAUUCGUCUUCCUCUGACGAGGAGUAUGAAGGAUCGGACCAAUAUGCAGUGUGGUACGUGUCCAAGUUGAUAAUUUAUUAACAUUGAACACCAAAAACAAAAUAACAAGUAGAACGAACGAAAACGAAACAGUUCUGUCUGGUAAUUACACAGAGACAGAAACAAUCACCCACAACUAAAAAGGGUGAAAACAGGCUACCUAAGUAUGAUUCUCAAUCAGAGACAACGAACGACACCUGCCUCUGAUUGAGAACCAUACCAGGCCAAACACAUAAACACAACAUAGAAAAAAGAACAUAGACUACCCACCCCAACUCACGCCCUGACCAAACUAACACAAAGAUAUAAAUAAAGGAACUAAGGUCAGAACAUGACAACAUCUGCUGGUAAUCAUGUUGGCAAAUUGAUAAAGUGAGAUGUAUAACCUUCUGAAGUAUCACUAGGGGACAGGCUGAGUGGCCGCGCAUCUUCCUCAGCUCUACCUCUCCUGUCAGUUAUGAUAUGAACUAGCAAUGAAUGUAUUUAGACAUGUAUAGAGGCUACAAUACCAUGCUCUGAGACACCAUGCCAGAUAUAUUCACCAGGCAACAGGGUGUGGAAGAAGGGUUUAUUUGACAAACAUAUGUGACCGACCACGUUGAUUCGGUCUUAUAGAGCAACAUUUUGUUUUUUAAAUAUCGGAUAAAAGCAGACAUAGAGCUACACAAUGGUACAGUCGAAGUCGGAAGUUUACAUGCACUUAGGUUGGAGUCAUUAAAACUCGUUUUUCAACCACUCCACAAAUUUCUUGUUAACAAACUAUAGUUUUGGCAAGUUGGUUAGGACAUCUACUUUGUGCAUGACACAAGUCAUUUUUCCAACAAUUGUUUACAGACAGAUUAUUUCACUUAUAAUUCACUGUAUCACAAUUCCAGUGGGUCAGACGUUUACAAACACUUAGUUGACUGUGCCUUUAAAUAGCUUGGAAAAUUCCAGAAAAUUAUGUCAUGUCUUUAGAAGCUUCUGAUAUGCUAAUUGAAAUCAUUUGAGUCAAUUGGAGGUGUACCUGUGGAUGUAAUUCAAGGCCAACCUUCAAACUGAGUGCCUCUUUGCUUGACAUCAUGGGAAAAUGAAAAGAAAUCAGCCAAGACCUCAGAAAAAAUUGUAGACCUCCACAUGUCUGGUUCAGUGCAAAUCUAUCCCAGAACAACAGCAAAGAACCUUGUGAAGAUGCUGGAGGAAACAGGUACAAAAGUAUCUAUAUCCAUAGUAAUACGAGUCCUAUAUCGACACAACCUGAACAGCCGCUCAGCAAGGAAGAAGUCAUUGCUCCAUAACCGCCAUAAAAAAGCCAGACUACGGUUUUCAACUGCACAUGAGGAUAAAGAUGGUACUUUUUGGAGAAAUGUCCUCUGGUCUGAUGAAACAAAAUGUUUACUGUUUGGCCAUAAUAACAAUUGUUAUGUUUGGAGGAAAAAGGGGGAAGCUUGCAAGCUGAAGAACACCAUCCCAAUCGUGAAGCAUGGGGGUGGCAGCAUCAUGUUGUGGGGGUGCUUUGCUGCAAGAGGGACUGGAGCAAUUCACAAAAUAGAUGGCAUCAUGAGGCAGGAAAAUUAUGUGGAUAUAUUGAAGCAACAUCUCAAGACAUUAUUCAGGAAGUUAAAGCUUGGUCGCAAAUGGGUCUUCCAAAUGGACAAUGACCCCAAUCAUACUUCCAAAGUUGAGGCACAAUGGCUUAAGGACAACAAAGUCAAGGUAUUGAAGUUGCCAUCACAAAGCCCUGACCUCAAUCCUAUAGAAAAUGUGUGGGCAGAACUGAAAAAGUGUGUGCGAGCAUGGAGGCCUUACAAACCUGACUCAGUUACACCAGCUCUGUCAGGAGGAAUGGUUCAAAAUUCAACCAACUUAUUGUGGGAAGCUUGUGGAAGGCUACCCAAAACAUUUGACCCAAGUUAAACAAUUUAAAGGCAAUGCUACCAAAUACCAAUUGAGUGUAUGUAAACUUCUGACCCACUGGGAAUGUGAUGAAAUAAAUAAAAUCUCAAAUAAAUCAUUUCACAUUCUUAAAAUAAAGUGGUGAUCCUAACUGACCUACGACCGGGAACUUUUACUAGGAUUAAAUGUCAGGAAUUGUGAAAAACUGAGUUGAAAUGUAUUUACUUCCGACUUCAACUGUAUAUCGUACACUGCAUUUGAGGAACAACGGGAAAGUAAUUCUGAUUUGAAAGUUCACAAACUUGUAAUCUCAGUUUUGAGAAAAUGCCCUUUCAAUGUUUUGGUACCUACUGGAGAGCUCUUCUUUGUCUACACCCAUUCAGCAUUAUUCACACUCUCUUAAGCUUUGGCCCCACCCAUCUCUUUAAGGGUUUAUCCGAGCGUUCUGUCCUAACAACAACAGUCAAGCACCCAAGCUAACUGGCUAACGUUGGCUAUCUUGCUAGCUACUUCCAGACACAAAUGAGAGAACAGCUCACUGACCAUUUAACUCACCCUAACAGAGCUGGUUAGGCUGUUUUGAUG
Molecule: long non-coding RNA, 3405 nt
Organism: Oncorhynchus nerka (sockeye salmon)
Lineage: Eukaryota; Metazoa; Chordata; Actinopteri; Salmoniformes; Salmonidae
Exons: 4
Source: RefSeq, a predicted model, not a curated record